This 200-nucleotide ribosomal RNA is filed under the name uncultured bacterium. RNAcentral's name for it is "partial 16S ribosomal RNA". It matches the Rfam family "Bacterial small subunit ribosomal RNA", at positions 8 to 217 of the family's 1533-position model. The record is from RNAcentral.
AGAGUUUGAUCCUGGCUCAGAACGAACGCUGGCGGCAUGCCUAACACAUGCAAGUCGGACGCUCCGGGGGUUUCGGCUUCCGGGGAGUGGCGCACGGGUGAGUAGCGCGUGGGAACCUGUCCUUUUGUGGGGGAUAACCGAGGGAAACUUCGGCUAAUACCGCAUGCGCCCCUGGGCAACCGGGGGGAAAGAUUUUAUCG